Molecule: ribosomal RNA, 326 nt
Filed under: uncultured bacterium
Lineage: Bacteria
Description: bacterial SSU rRNA
Rfam family: Bacterial small subunit ribosomal RNA
Source: RNAcentral
GACGAACGCUGGCGGCGCGCCUAACACAUGCAAGUCGAACGGAGUUUGAGAGAGCUUGCUUUUUCAAACUUAGUGGCGAACGGGUGAGUAACGCGUAGGCAACCUGCCCUUUAGUUGGGGACAACAUCCCGAAAGGGGUGCUAAUACCGAAUGUGAUCGCGUUCUCGCAUGAGAGAGCGAUGAAAGAUGGCCUCUAUUUAUAAGCUAUCGCUAAAGGAUGGGCCUGCGUCUGAUUAGCUAGUUGGUGGGUAACGGCCCACCAAGGCGACGAUUGGUAGCCGGACUGAGAGGUUGAACGGCCACAUUGGGACUGAGACACGGCCCAG